This 269-nucleotide ribosomal RNA is filed under the name uncultured prokaryote. RNAcentral describes it as "partial 16S ribosomal RNA". It matches the Rfam family "Bacterial small subunit ribosomal RNA", at positions 509 to 776 of the family's 1533-position model. The record is from RNAcentral.
CAGCCGCCGCGGUAAUACGGGGGGAGCAAGCGUUGUUCGGAUUUACUGGGCGUAAAGGGCGCGUAGGCGGCCACCGCAAGUCGACUGUGAAAUCUCCGGGCUUAACCCGGAAAGGUCAGCCGAUACUGCGGGGCUAGAGUGCAGAAGGGGCAACUGGAAUUCUCGGUGUAGCGGUGAAAUGCGUAGAUAUCGAGAGGAACACCUGCGGCGAAGGCGGGUUGCUGGGCUGACACUGACGCUGAGGCGCGAAAGCUAGGGGAGCGAACGGG